RNAcentral lists this ribosomal RNA (530 nucleotides) under uncultured bacterium. RNAcentral describes it as "bacterial SSU rRNA". It matches the Rfam family "Bacterial small subunit ribosomal RNA", at positions 356 to 896 of the family's 1533-position model. The record is from RNAcentral.
GGGGAAUAUUGCACAAUGGGCGGAAGCCUGAUGCAGCAACGCCGCGUGCGGGAUGACGGCCUUCGGGUUGUAAACCGCUUUCGCCUGUGACGAAGCGUGAGUGACGGUAAUGGGUAAAGAAGCACCGGCUAACUACGUGCCAGCAGCCGCGGUGAUACGUAGGGUGCGAGCGUUGUCCGGAUUUAUUGGGCGUAAAGGGCUCGUAGGUGGUUGAUCGCGUCGGAAGUGUAAUCUUGGGGCUUAACCCUGAGCAUGCUUUCGAUACGGGUUGACUUGAGGAAGGUAGGGGAGAAUGGAAUUCCUGGUGGAGCGGUGGAAUGCGCAGAUAUCAGGAGGAACACCAGUGGCGAAGGCGGUUCUCUGGGCCUUUCCUGACGCUGAGGAGCGAAAGCGUGGGGAGCGAACAGGCUUAGAUACCCUGGUAGUCCACGCUGUAAACGGUGGGUACUAGGUGUGGGGUCCAUUCCACGGGUUCCGCGCCGUAGCUAACGCUUUAAGUACCCCGCCUGGGGAGUACGGCCGCAAGGCUA